CUCCCGGUGGCCAAGCUGGUUUAAGGCGCGAGACUGUAAUGGAAAAUUGUCAUCUUGAGAUCGGGCGUUCGACUCGCCCCCGGGAGA
This 87-nucleotide transfer RNA is filed under the name Yarrowia lipolytica. It matches the Rfam family "tRNA". From Rfam's summary of the family: Transfer RNA (tRNA) molecules are approximately 80 nucleotides in length. Their secondary structure includes four short double-helical elements and three loops (D, anti-codon, and T loops). The record is from RNAcentral. RNAcentral also lists the same sequence under 1 other name. Lineage: Eukaryota; Fungi; Ascomycota; Dipodascomycetes; Dipodascales.